GGAAAUUAUCAGUACCCAGACACUUGGUACUGUUUUUGCCCCCAAACAAAAAUUAGCCCAGUACUAAAUCAUUAUUCCCUUUCAGCAAAAUGUUUAUUUGCAAGAAGAUUUUGUUUUAUUUAUUAUUUCUCAUCAUCAUGCAGAAGAAAAGAGUGACCUGCAAGCCAACAGAGAAACAAAUUAAUUUUGCUUUCCCCCUUCUCCCCGUCCUUUGCUCACUGUAAUCAAUAGACCUUUUUCUGUAAUAAAACAUAAGCCUUAUUCAGUUCUUGAAAGAAAUGCCCUAACCUGAACAUUCAGUCAAACUCGCAAUUAAAUUUAACUAAGACAUUUCACAGGCUGACAUCUUUUACCUCUAGGAUUUAGAAGAACCAGAUUCCAAUGCCAGCUACACUUCUAAUUAGCUAUGUCACCAGGUGCAAAUAAAUCAGACUUUGCAGACCUCGGUCUUUUUAUCUGAGAAAUGACAAGGCCGCAUACAAUAAUUGCUAUGCUCCCUUACUAUUUAAAACUGAUUCACUUCUAAGUUUCAUUCUUGUUGGAAAUAUAUCAUCAUCUUUCCCAGCUAUUUCUCUUUCUCUGGUGUUAGAUACAUUAUUUCAUUUCCAUCUUCAUACAGUUCAAUAACUCAGCCCGUGGUUAUACUCUUCAUGAGAUUCCAAUUCUGCCCUUACCUUUGUCAUAUUACUGACUCUUUCUUCUAGUACACACAUAACACACUGUGUUUGUGUCGACUCUGACUUCAGCUAGGCAGAACAAACGAACACAGAACCCACUGAAAGAUGCUUUAAGAGAUGUGCAGGCUUUGAGGAACUGCAGGCUUUAAAGAAAUGCUUAUGUAAGGCAUUUGUUCAUUCAACUUUGCUCAAACCAAAACAGCCCAUAUUUACAGUGCUCUCAGCUCUCUUUCAAAUUGUGUUGGUUAUUAGUCCUAAAUAGUAUCUAAAGCCAGAUUAACCACUCAAGCAAUCAGUCUGAUGGAUGUUUCCCUACAUUAAUUCACAUACAUAGACAUUUAAUGUUCUCCCCACAAUUUCCCAUGUUUCCUCCUGUUUAGUCACCAUGACAAUCAUGUCGGAGAGCUUCGCAGCAGGUUAGACCAUCCUCAUUUUACAGAGGAAGAAAACUGGAGCUCAGAGAGGGCAGGGGACCUGCCUGAGUCCCUCAGAGAAUUGUAAGGAAGAUCUAGCUCUCCUAACACCAAGCUGCCACUGAAGAAAUCAGUCUGGUUCUUGUUUGUUUUUGUCGUUUUUUGAACUUGCAUAGAAGUAGAGCCAGGCCCACUCUUGUUAUCCCACAAAUGGGCUUGCUGCCUGACAUGUAAAGAAGCCAAUACUAUGGCACUGGAUUUUGAGAAAAGAAAGGCUUUAUUGUGAGGUCAGCAAGGACACAGGAGGUGCAAUGAGAGUGUCUCCCCGAUUCGGGGACUAGAGCAAGUUUUAAGGAGUUGGAAGGCAAGGGAAAGGAUUUAGGAAUGUUGGCUUGGUAGGGUCUGAUGGGAGGGCUUCAAAUUUGACUAUUUAUGGUAAGGUAUGUUGAAACAGAAUAUAGCCCCAGAUUUUCCCGGUUAAUGGACCCUUCACUUCUGAAAAAGUUUUGACAUUCAGGUUCUCCUUAUGUCCCAGUCUUCUUGGUUCUGUGGGGAAGGAAUCAUUGGUUCCAGGUGUUGUUGGAGGUCAAGUCUUUUUCUAUUACACAUGCCUAGGCUACAUGACUUGUGGUA
Molecule: long non-coding RNA, 1723 nt
Filed under: Homo sapiens (human)
Lineage: Eukaryota; Metazoa; Chordata; Mammalia; Primates; Hominidae
Description: non-protein coding lnc-SIPA1L2-7:1
Source: RNAcentral